Non-coding RNA from Caenorhabditis elegans, 208 nucleotides. Lineage: Eukaryota; Metazoa; Nematoda; Chromadorea; Rhabditida; Rhabditidae. The record is from Ensembl.
UUGCAAAGCGGGUUUCUAUGGUCGUGGAGAAGAAGAUUAGAGACCGGCGGCGCCCCAGAAUAAGACGGUUCAGACAUUUUUGAAGACGUGGGAGACACCACAAGGGUCGAUACUUUGUCUUGUCGUUUGCCACCUUUGGAGCGGCAAGUGCAUCAACGGUGUGAGGGCACAGGAACCUGUCUAUUGCCACGUCAUAAAUCAAAUCGAC